Toxotes jaculatrix (banded archerfish) is the source of this 592-nucleotide long non-coding RNA. RefSeq lists it as uncharacterized. NCBI's taxonomy places the organism in Eukaryota, Metazoa, Chordata, Actinopteri, Toxotidae. The record is from RefSeq and is a predicted model, not a curated record. The transcript has 4 exons.
GCUCAUCCCACGUGUUGGCUGUGGCCUGGCGUGGCAGAGCGUUUUGUUUGGCGUGGCUGUGACUUCUUUCAGUCGGACGUAAUAGCUGUUGUUUGUGGCAGCCGUUGAGGCACCUGUUUCCACGCCUUCAGGUGCCGGGGGCCUGAGGCGGCAGUUGAUCCCUGGCGGUGGUGUUCUUCACGACUCCUUUUUGUUGGUGUGCGGUGUCAGGGGUGGCUAGUUUUAUGGAUCGUCCCUUUUUGAUUUUCCCUGCUGAUUUUCCGUGCAGUUGAAGGCGGUGAUGGAAAAGUGGACGUGAUCCGCCUGGGGGUUGUAACAAAUGGCGUAGCCGUCAGGAACAAGAGGCCCAAAGCACAUCACGCUGUCUGUGUUCGCAGGCACCUGAAGGGACCAGAGAGGGAGAGAGAGGAGAAUGUGACUGACAAAAAACCUCACAACAACCUUUUCCAAUGACGGAACACACCUGCCCUGUUCGGAGUUUCAAGUGUGUUGCCAGCCCGUACGCUGUAUCCAUGAAGAUUUUGGGAAUGCUCAGUCCCUCCGCGAUGGCCUGCAGCUUGAGCCCCAGCAGGUGGCGGUCAAUGCCGUGUCC